UGGGAUAUCGCCAAGCGGUAAGGCAGCAGGUUUUGAUCCUGCCAUUCCCAGGUUCAAAUCCUGGUAUCCCAG
Pseudoalteromonas lipolytica SCSIO 04301 is the source of this 72-nucleotide non-coding RNA. The record is from Rfam. NCBI's taxonomy places the organism in Bacteria, Pseudomonadati, Pseudomonadota, Gammaproteobacteria, Alteromonadales, Pseudoalteromonadaceae.